Molecule: non-coding RNA, 139 nt
Filed under: Linnemannia elongata AG-77
Lineage: Eukaryota; Fungi; Mortierellomycota; Mortierellomycetes; Mortierellales; Mortierellaceae
Description: Mortierella elongata AG-77 Eukaryotic large subunit ribosomal RNA
Rfam family: Eukaryotic large subunit ribosomal RNA
Source: Rfam by way of RNAcentral
UGCAAAAGUAAUUGAACUUGGUACGAGAGGAACCGUCAAUUAUUGGUAUUUGGGCCUGCCCGAGCAGGCAAUGACCCGAAGCUAUCAUCCGUUGGGUUAUGGCUGAACGCCUCUAAGUCAGAACCCGUGCUAGAACGCG